CCCAGACACCCUCGUCGCCCGCACCAGGUCCGGCGGCUCCGGGGAUGGCGACUCCCAGGCAUGUUUUCACUAUAUAUUCCUGAACGGACGAGAACUUUCUAUGUAGACCAAGAUGGCCUCACAGAGAUCUGCUUAAAGUGCCUCUGAACCACUUCAAGUCCCUUUUUAAAACUAACUCCAGCCGAGCCCGAGGUUUGCUUAUGUGAACUUCAAGGCAUGGAAGAUUCUUUGUUUUAUGUCACAGAAAACAUUUCUGAGAUUACUUUCAAUUCAUGGUG
Molecule: long non-coding RNA, 278 nt
Organism: Grammomys surdaster
Lineage: Eukaryota; Metazoa; Chordata; Mammalia; Rodentia; Muridae
Exons: 2
Source: RefSeq, a predicted model, not a curated record